This 64-nucleotide transfer RNA is filed under the name Asbolus verrucosus. RNAcentral describes it as "tRNA-Phe". The record is from RNAcentral. Lineage: Eukaryota; Metazoa; Arthropoda; Insecta; Coleoptera; Tenebrionidae.
AUUUAGAUAGCUUAAUUUAGAGCGUGAUAUUGAAGAUAUCAGGGUAAUUUUAUAUUUCUAAGUA